GUUGCCCUUAAUCUACUCAUUAAUAUAAUUUGAAUUUUAGCUAUUAAUCUAAAUAAUCAUGUAUGGGAUUUCACAAAUUAUCUUUAUUUUAAAUGAGCGUUUGUUUUGAACCAGAGGAUGUGGUCAUGUCUGGUGUUUAUUAUUAUAAUAUGUUAACCAUCAUUGAUGGUGGCUAGAGGUUGAUGGCUGACAUCGGCAGAGCACUAUUAGAAUAAUAAGUUAUAUUUUAUAUUUUUGUAAUAGAUGACUGCAUCUAUUUUGAUUUGCCUCCUCAUAACAUGCACAAGCCAUCUUAAUUUACUUUUCUAAUUCUAUGUUUCACAUCCU
This is a non-coding RNA of Cinara cedri, 327 nucleotides long. The record is from the annotation of a GenBank genome assembly. NCBI's taxonomy places the organism in Eukaryota, Metazoa, Arthropoda, Insecta, Hemiptera, Aphididae.